RNAcentral lists this ribosomal RNA (279 nucleotides) under uncultured bacterium. Its description in RNAcentral is "partial 16S ribosomal RNA". It matches the Rfam family "Bacterial small subunit ribosomal RNA", at positions 506 to 784 of the family's 1533-position model. The record is from RNAcentral.
UGCCAGCCGCCGCGGUAAUACGGAGGGGGUUAGCGUUGUUCGGAAUUACUGGGCGUAAAGCGCGCGUAGGCGGAUUGGAAAGUUGGGGGUGAAAUCCCAGGGCUCAACCCUGGAACUGCCCUCAAUACUGUCAGUCUAGAGUUCGGAAGAGGUAAGUGGAAUUCCUAGUGUAGAGGUGAAAUUCGUAGAUAUUAGGAAGAACACCAGUGGCGAAGGCGGCUUACUGGUCCGAUACUGACGCUGAGGUGCGAAAGCGUGGGGAGCAAACAGGAUAAGAUA